This 497-nucleotide ribosomal RNA is filed under the name uncultured bacterium. Its description in RNAcentral is "partial 16S ribosomal RNA". It matches the Rfam family "Bacterial small subunit ribosomal RNA", at positions 28 to 507 of the family's 1533-position model. The record is from RNAcentral.
GAUGAACGCUGGCGGCGUGCCUAAUACAUGCAAGUCGAGCGAACAGAUGAGGAGCUUGCUCCUCUGACGUUAGCGGCGGACGGGUGAGUAACACGUGGAUAACCUACCUAUAAGACUGGGAUAACUUCGGGAAACCGGAGCUAAUACCGGAUAAUAUAUUGAACCGCAUGGUUCAAUAGUGAAAGACGGUUUUGCUGUCACUUAUAGAUGGAUCCGCGCCGCAUUAGCUAGUUGGUAAGGUAACGGCUUACCAAGGCAACGAUGCGUAGCCGACCUGAGAGGGUGAUCGGCCACACUGGAACUGAGACACGGUCCAGACUCCUACGGGAGGCAGCAGUAGGGAAUCUUCUGCAAUGGGCGAAAGCCUGACGGAGCAACGCCGCGUGAGUGAUGAAGGUCUUCGGAUCGUAAAACUCUGCUAUUAGGGAAGAACAAAUGUGUAAGUAACUAUGCACGUCUUGACGGUACCUAAUCAGAAAGCCACGGCUAACUACGUG